CAAAUCUAUAAAUAGAAACGCGCAUAUAUUUAUGUGUGAGUGUAUGUAUGGUGUGCCAGUACGUCCGUCUGUCAAUCACGCUGAAACGAUUUCUUGUAAAUUGAUAGAUCUAUUAUAGUUUGUCAUUUCUGACAACCACACAUGAAGGAUUCUUGUUAUUUUUUCCUCAACAAUGAGAGCUUACUAGAUCUAUACUACUAGAAUCGAUAAGAGGUCACAAGUGAUGUCUUAAUAAUUUAAUGUCUAGAACUUUCCUUCACAUUAUUAAGCAAAAUUAAGCUUUGUUCAGUCCGAGCAUUCUAUUUGUGUAUGUAGGCCUACUGCAAUGAAGGCCAGAGGAGAGCUUUACUUUAUGAGUAUAGUCACCGAGGCUCAAUGAAUUUAUUAAUAUUAAAAAUAAUAAGAGCGAAAUAAUAAAUAAAGCAAUGAGCCUAACAUGUUUUCUUCAUCUAGAUACCGGAUGAAUAGUGCACUCAAGAUUCCAAGAAAAUAUUUUAUCGGAACGUCUCACUCCGUUAUACUCUAACGUUGGAAUGGGCCCUUCCUAAUACGGUGGUAGACGCUCAGAACGCAGGAAAACACUUGGCGGAGUUAAAGGCGCUUCGUCAGACUACCUUGCUGGAUGGAGAGGGAACAUGGUGCCUCUCUAAUAAUAUCUCUAGGAAGAACUUUUUCAGACAUAAAAAUAAAAUUACAUACAAAGCACUAUACAUAUGGAUAUAUAUUCGCAAUGUAAUAUAAAUAUAUCUCUGUUCCGUGUGGUAUUAUUGUUUCAGUUGGCCUAACAAUGAACUCUUCUUUAUGUAUGAAAGAGAUAAUAGUAGUUUUUAGCUUCUGAUAUUGAUGCUGAAAAUAGUGAAACCUGUCUUUUUACCUGCUUGAGUGGACCACUUACAAAUUCUCAGUAACCUUGUUUUUUUUUUAAAUAUUCACUAAAAGUAUUCUAAAGUAUAACAACUAAAUAAAAUUCAAUAUUUGUACAUUUUAUUGUAAUAUAUUUCUUAAUUUUUUGGACGUUAAAAAAUACAGUAACAUAAUGACAAUAUAAACUCAAGACACUUCUUUUAUUUCAACGUAGGGAUAGAGACAUCAUUUAUUUGAUUCACAAUGCAUAUAUAUUGGGAGUGGGGCCAAAGCAUUUAAAACGCACAUUUACGAAAAAAACAAUAUCAGCAGAAUGAAACACAAAUCAUAAUUGUCAACAUUGGCACUUAUUUUUUUUUUGUACACAUUUUGCGUGAGCAGGUUUGACUUUAUCUCUACAACAGAAUACACAAGCUAGAGGGAAACAAAACAACAGAUAUCCAAAGUUGUAUACAAUAUGUAGCAAUGCAAAAUCAGUUUGGUCCUAGACAAAUGCAGUUAUAUAAAGAUUAUUUUGGUGUUUAAAUGGGUGAACUGUUCACAGAAAUAUAAGAAUCAUAUUUCUGCUAGUAAUUAAAUUCUUGCACUAAAUAUUAUGUAAUGCUUUUUCAUCUGUUCUAUAUAAUCUACCAUUAUGCGUCUUAAUACUGGAAAUGAGUAUGUACAAAAGAAGUGGUUAAGAAACUCUAUGAAUAUAACUAGUUAUAAAUAAAGAAUACUCAGGUAUGUACAGGUAUGACAGUCCUUAUUAGUUGCAUAAUAAACAAAGAAUUCAAGUUUCCGAUCAAUAAAAGCACCAAAGUGAAAAAUAAAUAAUGUUGAUUGCAGUGGACUGAAUUAAAUGAUUAAAAAUUCCUUGUGACCACUGAGUCCUCAAGUCAUACCUUGAUGGUCACAAAAAUAGUCAUGCAAGGAUGAAUUAAGAAAUGGCAUUUUAAUGGUAUGGUAAACAAAACAACAACAAAAAUGCAGUGGCCUGAGGUCAUGUCAAGUCAGGUAGUUAUUUUUUCUCUCUGUAAAUGUUCAUCCUAAACAGUUGUAACAGUAAAAUGAAGUUAACAUUAUUAAAUUCUAAGCAGAACCUCCAUCAGGAUAGAGGGGGUGACAGUAGGCAGGGUUUGAACUUAGGACUAUCAAAAUAACAGCAAAAUAUGCAUAUAUACAAUCAUCUCAUUUACAUUAACAGCACCAUACUAGCACUGGUAAGAAUUCAGAAAAAUUAUCCAAGUUUUCAAAUUCUGCAUUCAAUGUAAUAAUCAUGAUUCAUGGAGUUUUCAAGUUCUGAUUUGAUGUAGUAUUCUGAUUUGAUGUAGUAUUCAUGUAAUGUAAUGCACUAUGACUUUUUACGCUGUUUCAGGUUGAGACUUUUGGAAGAAAAGAUUAAGCUCUAUCUGCUUGUCUCUUGCUUUCAGAGCACUGGAAGUUGAGUAGGGAUGUCCACUUGCUUCUAGAGAUAACUUUUCAAAUAAAAUAAUCCAUUUCAAAUAUACUAGCACAGAUAGUUAUCAGUCAAUCAUUGGAACACUUGAAAUAUUAAAAAAAAAAAAAAAAAAGAAGCCAACAUAAAACUAAACAAAA
Long non-coding RNA from Biomphalaria glabrata, 2442 nucleotides. RefSeq lists it as uncharacterized. The record is from RefSeq and is a predicted model, not a curated record. The transcript is spliced from 2 exons. NCBI's taxonomy places the organism in Eukaryota, Metazoa, Mollusca, Gastropoda, Planorbidae.